RNAcentral lists this long non-coding RNA (16818 nucleotides) under Vitis vinifera (wine grape). RNAcentral's name for it is "long non-coding RNA (VVIN_LNC006293)". Lineage: Eukaryota; Viridiplantae; Streptophyta; Magnoliopsida; Vitales; Vitaceae. The record is from RNAcentral.
AACCUUGAGAGUCUUCCUGUGAGCAUUUACAAUUUGAGCUCUCUCAAAACUUUGGGGAUUACAAAUUGUCCAAAACUCGAGGAAAUGUUAGAGAUUAAAUUAGGGGUUGAUUGGCCAUUUUCACCUCUAACCUGUCACAUUUCAAAUUCAGCAAUAACCUGGUAUGAUGACUGGCAUGACUGCUUUUCCUCAUUAGAAGCAUUAAACCCACAGUGCCCCCUGUCAUCACUGGUAGAAUUAUCUGUAAGAAAGUUUUAUGGCAUGGAAGAAGACAUCCUCAGUGGCAGUUUCCACCUAUCCUCAUUGCAAAUAUUAUCUCUAGGGAACUUCCCUAGCGUGGCAGAAGGAAUCCUCGAUAAGAUUUUCCAUCUAUCCUCGUUGGUAAAAUUAUCUCUUACUAAAUGCAAGCCAACGGAAGAAGGAAUCCCUGGUGAUAUUUGGAACCUAUCUCCACUGCAACAAUUAUCUCUACGUGACUGCAAUCUAAUGGAAGGAAAGAUCCUCAAUCAUAUUUGCCAUCUAACAUCCUUGGAAGAAUUAUAUCUGGGUUGGAACCAUUUUAGUAGCAUACCUGCUGGCAUCAGUCGACUUUCUAAUCUAAAGGCCCUUGACUUGAGUCAUUGCAAGAACCUUCAACAAAUUCCAGAGCUUCCAUCAAGUCUACGAUUUUUAGAUGCGCACUGUUCGGAUGGUAUUUCAUCAAGCCCCUCGCUUCUACCUAUUCAUUCUAUGGUCAAUUGCUUCAAAUCAGAAAUUGAGGUAUGAUUCUCAUGCCACGUUCCUCUUUCUUUUGUACCCAUUGAAUUUACAUGGUGCUUUUGUGCAGGACCGCAAGGUUAUUAAUCAUUAUUCUUACUUCUGGGGCAAUGGAAUUGGUAUUGUUAUUCCUAGAAGUAGUGGAAUUCUAGAGUGGAUAACAUAUCGGAAUAUGGGAAGGAAUGAAGUAACAGUAGAGCUCCCUCCGAAUUGGUAUAAAAAUGAUGACUUGUGGGGAUUUGCUUUAUGCUGUGUUUAUGUUGCACCUGCCUAUGAAUCUCAGUAUGAAUUAGGUCAUAUAUCUAAGGAUGACGCUGAACUUGAAGAUGAAGGACCAGGGUUCUGUUGUGAUUUGAGUAUCGAAGGAAAUAAUCAAUCAGGAGACGUGGGUUUUUUCCUUCUUUAUUCUUGCUGUGUUAAAUAUGAUGUGUCAGAUAUGCAGUGGGUGAUAUGUUAUCCCAAGUUAGCUAUUGAGGAAAGUUAUCACACCAAUCAAUGGACACACUUCAAGGCUUCAUUUGGUGGUGCCCAAGUGGAAGAGUGCGGAAUCCGUCUUGUAUACACAGAAGAUUAUGAACAGAAGCAUCCAGCAAUGGCACAAGGCAGUACUUCUCAUGGGAAUUUUGGUGAGCAUGGAUCGGUAAGAGAAGAUACUGAUAGUAAGCUCACAAUAAAAGGAAUCCCACAGAACAGAGCCCAAGAGAGGAGUCACACCAUAAAAGAUCCAUAGAAACCCAAGACUGAUCCCAAGUAUUAGGCUCAACCACACUUGCAUCACUAAUGCUAUCUUUACUGGUAAUUCAUCUUCCUUUCUCUUUCUAAUUCAAAGGUCAGAAUUUUUUUUUAUCGUGUUUCUCCUUUUUAUUUGUCUUUUUCCCCAAGACAAACAAAACUUUGAGGCUAUCACCCAUGGGCGCAAACUUCAAUGGUACACCUCCCAAGUUUGUUUUUCUCUCUCUCCAACCGUCUUUCCCUAGAUUUUUCUGCAUUUUCUUCAAACCCAUAUUUCCAUAUGAAAUUCAAUUACAUUCGAGCAUUUCAAUCUCUGUAGCUACUGUCUGAAUCAUUUAUAGGGUUUCUUUUUUCUGGAAGUUUGUAAUGUUAUUGAUUUAAGACUUCAUGUUUGGGGAUGUUUUGGGUGGCUUGUUCACUGGUAUUAAUUGUGAUAAUUGCAGCUCUGGUGCUUUCAAUGACUUUGACAAUAGUCGAAACUAUGUUGAAUGCUUGUACCAAGGGAAUGGACUUCAGUUGCUCUAGGGUUAGUGCUAUAACAUCAGUAUUCACUCUUCAAGAAUGUAUAUAGUUGUUGUUUUGGAAUUUUGAAAUUACUUAGCAUCAGACAAUUUCUAACUCGGGAUUUGGAUUGGGAACCAUAAGUUAUCAUUAGAGAGUGUAUGAGAAGGAAUUUUAGAGUGAGAUGGGUGAUGCAUGUUGAGGGAUGAAAGAGGGAUGUAUCUCACCCUAGAGUUCUUUGGAAUAAUUAUAGGAUUUUGUAAGUAACUUUGGACUUACUUGCAAUGUUCUGGAUUUGUGAAUAAUUUAUAGAAUGCAUUGGGUUUUUUUUUUUUGUUUUUUUUUUUGGUCCAUAAGAAACUAAAAGAACUUUGAGAGUGAAUAAUGUAUGACUGUACUCUUCUCUAUCUCUCUGGUCAUAGCACACGUAUGAUUUGGUACUUUUUUGCAGGCUUCAACAGCAGCAAAGCAUCUGGUGGCUUGCAGUACUAAUCUUACAUUAUAUUCUCUGUUUUGCAAUCAUUUGGUACUUUUUGUCCCAACCAAGGAUAGCUCUGUGCAACAGUCUCGACUGUGGAACAAGUAAAACAAAUGGUACCUGCUGAAGCUGAGAGGGCAGAUAAUAAAUUGGUGCGGAAGGUGGUCAACCAAAAGAAUCAGACAGCAAAAACUAAAAAAGCCGAUGAAGCCUGCUACUGAAGCAGUCUCAGCACCUGUUUCUAGGAGGGGUGAGAUUGAAGUGACUGAAGAAAAGGAGCGUGAGCAAACAAAGAAGGAAGAGGAGUUGGCCAGGAAGGUAGAGGAAUUGAGAAGUGAAGAGGAAGCAGCCAUGUUGAAGGAGAAAAGUCUGUUGGAGGAGAAAGCCAACGUUAAGAAGGCAUUGGAAAGGAAACAAGGAACUGCAGAAAAGGCCAAUUUCUCUGUGAGUGCUGCCACCUUUUCGUGAUACAGCCAUAAUAAUGGAUGUUAAAAGCAGUCUAACUCUACAUGGCGUUUAUUUUCCCCAGCCAUAGAUUGGAAUCUGCCAGUCUGACUCUCAUAAGAAAGAAAAUUUUCCAUCGAUCCUCGUAUGGAUUAUUGGAGAAGAUUUUAACAUGGAGUUCACAAGAGAGUUUCUAACACCCACUUAAAAGGACAUUUUAGAAAACUUAUUGAAAAAUAACAUGAGAGUACAUAAAUUUUUAGAUAUUUUUAAAAAUAUUUGAAAAUUUAAAUUAACUAAAAGUAUUUGAAAAAUAUUUGAUUGAAUUAACAAAUAUCAAGUAUUUGCAUAUGAAAAAAUAAUAAACAUUGUGAAGAAUUUUUUUAUUAAUUAGUGCAUAAUAAUUUUAUUUUCCUUUUAAUCACAAAUUAAUCUAUGGCAAAAUCUCAUAUUUGUUGUAGGGACAAUGUUGUCUUACAUUUUUCUUUCAUGAUGGACUCAAAUUUUAAUUUAAAUGUAGUAUAAAUAUAUAAUUAGAUUGAAAUUUCGUCCACUAAGAUUGAUUGGGUAUGAAUUUGAACCCUCGUUCGGGUCAUACUUCCAUCCAAUCCAAGCUUGUGGUUGGGCUUGAAUUUCUUGGCCCAACCAGUAAUGUCAUUGACCAAUAGCCCUUAGUUUGGGCUGGGCUUGAUGGUCCUCAGGCUAUGCAGACUUAAUACUCAUUGGGUUUGGGAUUCCAUGUAGUUGUAAUUAGAUUCUAUGUUUCCUAAUAUUAACACUAAAUUAGGUUUAAUUUAUAAUUAAAUAUAAUUAGAAGAGGAAAAUGAAAUAUCAUAUCCUUGCAAUGAGUUAUGUGGAUAUUUCAUUUAAAAAGUCUAAUGUGAAAGGUUGUUAUGGGUAGUCGUUUUUUGAUGCAAAUUUUCUAUGGAGUCCUAAUCUUAGAAGGCAAUAGAAAAUUCACAACCAAGAUUUCUUAAAAAUAACUACAUUAAAGUGUAAACAAAAUAUCAAACUAGAAUUUCUUAGAAAUAUCAAACUAGAAAGUGAAAUAUAAUACAAUUCAAGUAUGAAAAUGAAGGACAAAAGAAUAGACCAAAUUUGAAAGACCGUUCAAAGACUCGUUUCUUGUUACAAUCCAAUCAUGACUUCCACUAGUAGAGAUCCUCUUCUUCUUCUUCUUCUUCUAAUUCCAAAUUGAGGGACCAUGCGUUCUUGAGUACCCUCAAAAGCUUUUUUGAUCAUUUAUACUGUAUAACCUUACUUGUAAUAACUGUAUAAGAUAUUUGUGCUAAUUGAUAAGAUAUUUGUGCUAAUUGUAUAAAACAUGUCCUUAUACAUCUUGAAUUUAUAAAUUUAUGAAUUUAUGAAUAACCCAAUAAUCAAUGACUUCUUAAUAAAAUUUUUUUAAUUUUGUUGCCUUAAAAGUCAUGUCCCUCCUUUACAAAGCUUCUUAGAAAUUUCAUAUAUUUUUUUUUGUCAUCAUCUAUAUUUCAUAUUUCUUUUUCGUCUUCAAUAUUUGUGUAUAUAUCUAAAAUAAAACCUAUAAGAAAAUGAAAAAUUUACACUUAAAAAGUGUUUAUUUGAAAUUUAGGCAAUGAACUUAAAGGAGUUUGGAAUUACUCCUCGAAGUUGAUAUGUUUGUUUUAAAAUCAAAGUGGAUUUCAAUUUUCUUUAAAUCCACGUUAUGAUAUUACGGUAAUAUGUAGUGUCUUUAAAACCAUGGCUUCCUCUAGCAAUUCUAAGAGACCCUUUUACUCUUCUUCUUCUUCUAAUUCUAAAUGGAGGUACGAUGUGUUCUUGAGUUUCAGAGGCGAGGAUACCCGCAACAACUUUACUAGUCAUCUCUACAAGGCUUUGGAUCAUGCCAACAUUGAAACCUUCAAAGAUGAUAAAGAACUUCGAAGGGGAGACGAGAUUGCACCCGAGCUCCUAAAAGCUAUUGAAGGAUCAAGGAUUGCCCUUAUUAUCUUCUCGAAAACCUAUGCUCAUUCCAAGUGGUGCUUGGAUGAACUCGUCAAGAUCAUGGAGUGCAAGGAAGAAAAGGGACAAAAGGUUUUUCCUAUUUUCUAUCAUGUAGAGCCGUCUGAAGUCAGGAAACAGACUGGGAUUUAUGGAGAAGCAUUUAACAAUCACGAGAGCAAUGCAGACGAGGAGAAGAAGAAGAAGAUAGAGAAGUGGAGGACUGCCUUAUGGAAAGCCGGUAAUUUGAGUGGAUUUCCUCUGCAGGAUAGGUAAUCCCUACAUCGCUUUUUCCAUUUCCCAUUUUCUGUCAGUUUAUUUUCAUUCUUCUUAAUAAAUAAAAUAUUUAUGAUUACAUAUAUCAAUCAAAAUCCAUUUUUAAGUAGUAGACAUUGAUUAAUAUGUUUGAUUUCUUGGAAAGUAAUAAGAAGAGUUAAAAAAAAAUGAUUUUCUUAUAUUUAAUUUAUUAUUAAAAAUAUGAAAGAAAAUAAAAUAUAAUUUAAAUACAUUGGAAAACUAUAAUAGGAAUAAUAUUAGAUAAUGUAUGAUAGCUGUUGUGGGCUCAUUCAGUCACAGCAGGUGAUAACAGUCAAUAAAAUAAAAUAAUUAUCCCAAAUGCCAAGUUUUGAAUUGUUAAAAAUUCUUAAGAUUCCAAAAUGUUCUUAGUUUCUAAUCAAUCCAUUUCAGCCAUAAUUUCUAUCAAUUUAAAAAGAUGGUAGUUUGUCAAAUAAAUUGUUAAAAUUGCUUAUUUAUAUGCUUUGUAAAUUUGGAGGUAAUCUAGGAUGAUUAUUUAGAAAAUUGUAAUACUGCCUUAAAUUUUUCUAGACCCCUCUUAUGGGACAAAAAACUUAGUUAUUAAACCCUUUACCUUUUUCAAUUUUUGAGGAAUUUUCUAUUACUAAAAUAAUUUUCUCAUAUUCUCUAUGAACUACAUGAGUUUACAUUUCUUCUUUCCUUAAUAUUGUUUCUUCCUUUAUAUUUGCAAGUUGAUAAUCAAAUUUAUUUGCCUUUUAAUCUAUUGUUUGUAUCUCGUUUUAUUCUAAUUUUCCAUGACAUCAAGAUAAUUAAUCUCAUCUUAAGACCUUGUCUUUCACAUUGAAUCAUCUAAUGCUAAAAUUAUUCUCUUGCUAUUCUACUUUGUGUACUCAUGGGAUUGAUAUAUUGCAAUCGAAAUUGCAUUUUUUUUUCUCUUUUUCUCUAGUAUGUUCUACAUUCCUCUAUGCCUCAAUUACAAAUAAAAGCAAGUAACCUUAGAGCUUGUUUGACAGUAUUUUUGAAAAUAAUGUUCAAAAAAUAGUUUUCCCCUAGCCAAUUUUGAAAAUAAUGAACAAAAUUUUACUUGAAAAUUCAAAUAUGAAAAAUGUCUUUCUCGACUUAUUAACUAUGAAGGUACUAUAAAUUUAUGUACAAUUUAACAAUUCUCUAAUUAUUAUCUACAUUUUCAAUUUUUGAUCACAAUACUCUAUAAGAAAAUACCUUAAAACAUCUCAAAUGUGCUCUUAAAGAUGAACUUGUUUACCGAACAAAUUUUUGAAAAUAAUUUUUAGUAAAAAUGAAAAUUAAAUAUAUAUUUAAGUUAUAAAACUAUUUUAUAUUCUAAAGAAAAAAAUCUAUUUUCAAAAACAAUAUCUAUACAAGCAUUUUUCUUUUAAGUAUCAUUUUAAAAUCUUUUUCCAUGACUCUUAUUAUUGCUAGGCUUUUGACCAACAAACAAACAUGUGUCACUUUCCUUGUCAUUCUAAUUUAUAUUUGGGAAAAAAAUGGGGAUUUCAUCAAAAUAUGAAACUUAUGUAGCAAUUAUUAGCAACCUAAAUAUAAAUAGAACUAAAGUGAAAAUUUACUUGUUUACAAAAUAAAUAGUUGAAAGUCUUAUAAGCAUAGAGGAUGGUCAUAAGUCAUGGUGUAAUUAAUAAAAGCAUUGCUAGGUUAUGGAACUUGGGUGACAAAUUGGUAGAUUUCUAGCCAAACUAGUACUGGUCUCUAUAAUAAAAUCUCUUAUCAUAAAGGAUAAUGAUACUUUAGAAAGGUCAACUUCAAUUUGGACCUUUAGAAGCAAUUGAGAUAUUUUCAUUAUUUUAUUGAACAUAUACUUGACAUAACAUAAUGAAAUUUUAUUUAAACAUGCGACUCAACACAUUUUUAAUUUACAUUCUAUUUGACCUUAAUUUAGUUGCAUUGAAUGAAACAAAACACCAUUCUAUUAUUUCCAUUUACUUCAUCUUUGUUUUCUUUGGCAAUUCAUUCUAACUCACUGCAUGUUUUAUUAUACUUUAUAAUGGACAGCCCUGAGUCAGAGUUUAUUGAAGAAAUCAUUGGUGAGAUUCGAAGAUUAAUUCCUAAGUUGGUACAUGUUGGUGAGAACAUAGUUGGAAUGGAUGAAAAUUCGAAAGAAGUGAAGUUAUUGAUAGACUCCCAAUCAAAUAAAGUGAGUAUGGUUGGGAUUUAUGGGACUGGUGGGAUUGGUAAAACUACCAUCGCCAAGGUUGUUUACAAUGGUCUGUUAGAUCAAUUUAAGCGUCACAGCUUUCUUGAAAAUGUGAGAGAGAAAUCUAAAGAUGAUCCUGGUUUGCUUGAAUUACAAAAAAAACUUCUUUAUGAUAUCCUCAUGGAGAAAGAUUCGAAGAUAAGUAAUAUUGGUGAAGGAAUAAAAGAGAUAAAGAGUAAGUGUUGCUUUGAAAAGGUUCUUAUUAUUCUUGAUGAUGUAGAUUGUCUAAGACAGUUAGAAUUCUUAGCUCCUAAUUCUGAAUGUUUUCAUCGAGGAAGCAUAAUCAUCGUGACCACAAGAAAUAAACGUUGCCUAGAUGUACAUAAGUCAUAUUCAUCAUAUGAGGCUAAGGGAUUAGCACAUGAGCAAGCUAAGGAGCUCUUUUGUUGGAAUGCCUUUAAGCAACACCAUCCAAAAGACAAUUAUGUGGACCUCUCUAAUCGUAUACUGGAUUAUGCUAAAGGCCUUCCAUUGGCUCUUGUAGUUUUGGGUUCUUUUCUUUAUAAAAGGGGUGUGGAUGAAUGGGAAAGCACAUUGCAUAAACUAAAAACAACCCCUUUCAAGGAUAUUCAAAAUGUGCUCCAGAUAAGUUAUGAUGGACUAGAUGAUAUAUGCAAGAAGUUGUUCCUUGAUAUUGCGUGCUUCUUCAAAGAUCACAAUAAAGAAUUUGUUACAAGUAUACUAGAAGGUUGUGAUCUCCAUCCCAAGAUUGGACUAAAAGUUCUUGAUGAGAGGUGUCUCAUUUCUAUAUUGGGUGGCACUAUAAGGAUGCAUGACUUGUUACAAGAAAUGGGUUGGGCAACAGAUUGUGGGAAUAUGAGGAUAUUAAAAGUGUCUUUACAAAAAAUAUGGUAAGAGAAAAAUAUAUGAAUAUACUUGAGAUCUAGAUCUAAAGACAAAAGAUUCAACAGUCUUUAUUUUUAUUAUUAUUAUAGUUUGAGUACCUUAUCUAUAUAAUUUUAAUGAAUCCCUAUGCAUCUUAUACUGCUUAUUCUCAAUGCGUGUUUUCAGGGGACAAAAAACAUUGAGGGGAUAUUCAUAAAUUGUACUAAAGCAAAACCUAUACAAUUUACUGCUGAAGCUUUCAAAAAGAUGAAUCGACUUAGAUUACUCAAAGUUGAAGAGGAUAUGGUGCAGCUUUCCCAAGACUUUGAAUUGUCUUGUCAUGAUUUAGUAUAUUUUCAUUGGGUUGCAUACCCUUUAGAAUCUUUGCCAUCAAAUUUUCAUGCUGACAGUCUCGUUGAACUCAACCUCCAGUACAGCAACAUAAAACAUCUUUGGGAAGGAAACAUGGUAUUGCUAUUAUUUAGUUAUACUUUUGCUCUAGACUAAUUUUAAGGUCUUUUGAAGUUUACUUAUUGAAACAAACUAUCUUCUGUUACAGCCUGCUAAAAAGUUAAAAGUCAUUAAUCUUCGGCAUUCCAAGCAUCUGGUUGAUAUUUCAAGCAUCUCAAGUGCGCCAAAUUUGGAGAUUUUAAUUCUAGAAGGUUGUACAAGGUUACUCAAGUGUUUCACCCAUGCCUAAUGUUACUAUUAGUCAUUAACUAACUGUUUUCUUGGAUAUAAUAGGGUGCAUAAGACUUGAGAGUCUUCCAAGGAACCUUCAUACAUUGUGAAGAAUUUCUGAACUCCUUUAUUGAUAUUUUAUCGGUACACACCAUACACAUAUAUAUACACAUAUAUAUACACAAAUGACUGAAUAAGAAAGAAUCAAUCUAGCUUAAUUCUCUCCUAAAAUUAGGAAACUAAAUCAUAAGGAAAUAUCCUAAAUGAUCUCUCAUUUUUUAUUCCUAAAUUAAAGUCCUAACUUUGGCAUUAUUUCAACACUCCCCCUCAAGCUGGAGAAUAUAUAUCAUAUAAUCCCAGCUUGCAAGUUAAGUCUUCGAAGUUAGGCCUAGGUAAAGCUUUGGUGAGGAUGUCUGCGGUUUGGUGCUUGGUAGGAACAUAGUUCAAUUUGACCGUCUCACUAGUCACCUUCUCUGUGAUAAAGUGUCUGUCAAUCUCAACAUGCUUGGUCCUGUCAUGAUGCACGGGGUUCUUUGCUAUGCUUAUAGCUGCCUGAUUAUCACACAUCAUCUGAAUUGGAGAUGAACUCGUUUGUCCCAGUUCACUAAGAACCCUUUUUAUCCAAAUCCCUUCACAGAUUCCCUGUGCAAGAGCUCUGUACUCAGCUUCUGCACUACUUCUGGCUACAACUGAUUGCUUCUUACUCCUCCAGGUAACAAGAUUUCCCCAGACAAAAGAACAAUAUCCGGAAGUGGACCGCCUGUCAAUGAUGUUUCCUGCCCAAUCCGCAUCUGAGUAUACUUCAGUGUCACGGUUCUCUGUCUUUCUGAAGAAUAGGCCUUUCCCUGGUGUCAUUUUUAAAUAUCUAAGAAUCCUGUAGACUGCUUCCAUGUGUUCCUCAGUGGGGCUGUGCAUGAAUUGACUUACAACACUCACUGCAAAGCCAAUAUCUGGCCGAGUGUGUGAGAGAUAAAUCAAGCGCCCGACAAGCCGCUGAUAUCUCCCCCUGUCUACUGGUGUACUUUCUUUCUCGAUACCAAGUUUCUUCUGACUAUCCAUAGGAGUAUCAAUUGGUUUGCAUCCAAGCAUACCGGUCUCCUUAAGAAGAUCGAGUAUGUAUUUUCUUUGAGAGACUACGAUUCCCUUCCUUGAUCUAGCCACUUCCAUACCAAGGAAAUAUUUCAAAUUUCCAAGGUCUUUAACUUCAAACUCUUCUGACAAAUACUUCUUCAAAUUCUGUAACUCCCCCAUAUCAUUCCCAGAUAGAAUAAUAUCAUCGACAUAGACUAUCAAUAUGGCCAAUUUCCCGGCAUGAGACUUCUUGACAAAUAGAGUAUGAUCAGCCUGACCUUGUUUGUAGCCCAGCUUCAGGACUGCUUUUGUGAAUCUAUCAAACCAGGCUCGAGGAGAUUGUUUAAGGCCGUACAAGGAUUUUUGGAGUUUGCAAACCUGAUUCUUUGCCAUACUUUCUUCGAAACCAGGUGGUAUUUCCAUGUAGACUUCCUCUUCUAGGUCCCCAUUUAGAAACGCAUUUUUUAUGUCCAGUUGUUGCAAGCACCAAUCUUGAUUGACAGCCAAUGAGAGAAGGAUCCUGAUAGUGUUCAGUUUUGCAACAGGAGCAAAAGUUUCCUGAUAGUCUAUCCCAUAGGAUUGUGUAAACCCUCUAGCUACCAAACGAGCCUUGAAUCUUUCGAAUGAUCCAUCUGCUUUGUAUUUUAUGGUGAAAAUCCACUUGCACCCCACAGGCCUCUUCCCAACCGGCAAAUCUGUGAUAGUCCACGUCCCAUUCUUCUCAAGUGCAUCAAUCUCAUCUUGUACUGCCUUCUUCCAUUCUGAAAUUUUUAAUGCCUCUUGUAUUGUGUUGGGAACCUGAGUAUCAUCAAGAGAAGUAGCAAAUGCUCUGUAAGAUGGUGAUAAUCCUUCAUACGUAACAUAAUUCCCAAUUGGAUGAUCUGUACAUCUCCUAACACCCUUCCUCAAUGCAAUUGGCAAAGUAGAAUCAUCAAUGCUGGGAAUUAACACCUCUCCAUCCCUAUCCUCACCUAUGUUCUCUUCAGGAAGACUUGAAUUGGAGUCAAUAUAUUGGCCACAUGUUGACUGUGAUCCGUGCUCUAAUUCCUGUCUUUUCCUCCUCCUGAUGUAAACUUGUAAGUUCUCAUUAGCAAGUUGUGGGCUAUAGGUUGAAUAGGCAUGGGAGACUGGAUGGUCACGGGAGAAGGAACAUUUGUGUGCUGGGCUGGCUGAACUGAUGGCGGCAUGGGUGUGGACAACUCAGUGGGCGUGAAUUGGGAAGGAUUUGGUGACUCUGAGUGAAAAGAAGGUACACCCUCAAGAAAAGACUCCCAAACUUGAUGUUCAUUCAUGCUCUCCCCCUGAACAUGAGAUUUGGGAUAGAAGAAGACAUGUUCAAAGAAAGAGACGUCCAUGGUGGUGUAAAAUCUUUUGUUGGUUGGAGAAUAGCAUUUGUACCCUUUUUUGGUUGGAGAAUACCCUAGAAAAAUGCACUUAUUUGCUCGAGGAGCAAAUUUGCUACAAUUUUGAGGAUACACAUGAACGAAUGCUGUGCAACCAAAUACUUUGAGUGGUAAAUCAGAAGAGGCGGCAUGGGUGUGAGGAAACUGUUUUAAGAAAAGUUGACGUGGGGAUUGAAAGGUAAGCACUCUGGAUGGCAUACGGUUAAUCAAAUAGGUAGCUGUGAGAAUAGCUUCCCCCCAGAAAUAGUUUGGAACCUUAGAGGAAAACAUAAGGCACCGGGCAACCUCCAAGAGAUGUCUAUUCUUGUGUUCAGCCACCCCAUUUUGUUGUGGGGUGUCAACGCAAGAACUUAUGUGGAUAAUGCCAUGAUUUUGAAGAUAAGUACUGAGACUACUAGUAAAGUAUUCCUUUGCAUUAUCUGACUUGAGGACUUGUAUUUUGGAAUUGAAUUGAUUUUGAACCAUAAGAUUGAAGGUUUGAAAAAUGUGCCCGACCUCUGACUUUUCUUUCAUAAGGAAAACCCAUGUUACCCGAGUAUGAUCAUCAACGAAUGUCACAAACCAUCGAGUGCCAGAAAUAUUUUUUAUCCGGGAGGGACCCCACACAUCACUAUGUACUAGAGAGAAAACAGUCGAAGGUUUGUAUGGGAUUUGAGGAUAUACUGUUCGAGUAUGCUUUGCAAACUGACAAAUUUCACAGUGAUAAGAUGCUGGAUUUUUAUUGAUAAAUAAUUUGGGAAACAAUUUCGCAAGGUAAACAAAGCUAGGAUGACCAAGGCGAUAGUGUAACAUUAUAAUCUUACUAUCUUUAUUGACCUUAGAAUUUGACACAGAAUUGAAAGACUCUGACAUACUCUGAGACUGUACGCAACUUGCUUGAGAGACUUGGUUUGAGAAUUGGCCACAUGAAAGGAGGUAGAGCCCGGAACACAGUUCAGCACUGCCAAUCAUCUUCCCCGAUUUCAAGUCCUGAAAAACACACAAGUUUGGAUAGAAUUUAGUAACACAUUGGAGAUCACGAGCCAAUUGGCUAAUGGACAAAAGAUUACAAUCCAAGUUUGGAACAUGGAGGACAGAGUCAAGAUAUAAGUCUUUAGUAAGUUUUAUAGAACCUGUCCCGGCAAUUUUUGACUUUGAACCAUCAGCAAUAUGGACGGAUGAAUGACCAUUACUUGGCUUGUAAUUUUGAAGAAUGGCAGCAUCUCCUGUCAUGUGAUCAGAAGCACCUGUGUCUACUAUCCACGGCCUCAUUCCUCCUCGAUUAGCAGUGAAGGCUACACCGGUAGUACUGCCGCUGCCAACUUGGCUUAAUAAUUUCUGUAGCCUCUCCAUCUGCUCUUUGUUGAAUGGACUCGGCUCGGGAACAGAUGUGCUCUCAGAGUUGGCAGCCACGUGUGCUCUGCCAUCUCUGUCAAACCGUGGCUUUGGUUUCCAAUCAGCCGGUUUGCCAUGAAGCUUCCAGCAAGUCUCCUUAUAAUGGCCUGGUUUCUUACAAUAAUCACACCAAGGCCUAUCCCGUUUCUGACGAUCUCCACCACUACUAUUAAAUGACCGAGCAGCAAGGGCAGAGGCAUCCAAUGUUGGGGCAGGUUGCUCUUUUGAUCCCAUCAUCACUUUCUUUCUACUUUCUUCACGCCUAACCUCUGAAAAAGCCUCCCUGAGACUUGGCAGGGGUUUAAUGCCCAUGAUUCGGCCUCUAACAUCAUCCAAUUCCCUGUUUAGUCCUAGGAAGAACUUGAACAGUCUCUUUUGUUCCACAAUUUGCCUGUAUGUUGCUGCAUCAUCCGAACAUUUCCAUGAGUGAGUCUCAAAUAAGUCAAGUUGCUGCCAAUACCUUGUGAGUGUGUUGUAAUACUGAGUAACUGACUGCUCUCCUUGGCGGAAGUCAUGUAGAGCUGAUUCAACCUGAAACAGUUCUGAAGUAUUUUCAGAACUUGAGUAAGUUUCUUUGGCUGCAUCCCAUAUGUCCUUUGCAGUCCCAAACAACAAGAAAUUUUCGCCUAUGUCAUUGUUCAUGGAAUUGAUAAGCCAUGACAUGAUCAUGCUGUUUUCAAUCUUCCACUUCCUAAAACCCGGUUCUGUAGUUUCUGGCAUGACUGCUUCUCCAGUGAGGUACUCAUCCUUUCCUUUACCGCAAAUGAACAGCAACACAGAUUGUGACCACUGUAAAUAGUUAUGGCCAUUUAAUUUGUGUCCUGUGAUGAGAAUAGGAGAGGAAUCAUUGCCACCAAGGUUUGGAAUUUCAGAUCUGCCCCCUGAUUCUGGUGACGUGACGCUGGAUACUUGUGAUGAUGCCAUUCUGUAUUUUGUCAUGGACCGGAAAGGUAGAAGAACACUUCCCAAGGCACGUGCAGGGACUGGAGUUGAGAAAAAAUAGCCGGAGGACGCCGGAAAAUCUUAUCAGAGGGCCCGCGGAAGCAAAAGAACCCCAAAAGAGGCACGUGCAGGGCUCGGAUUGCACAAACAGGUAGGAAGGGUGGCUGGUCGGCGUCAGGCGAGCCUGGAGGAGGAAGCGCGUCGCCGGAAAGUGGCUCACGUGCCCUCACGCGCCGGCGCGUGAGAUGCAGUCGCCGGCCGGAAAAACGCGCGUGGGCGGCGCGUGGAUGGGUUUCUGGUUCCGGUGCUUUGGGACAAAUUGGAGAUCUCCUCCAGGCGCUCCUUGCGGUGUAGAAAAAAAACCGUCGCCGGAAAGUUCGCCGGAAAAUUUUGCCGACGGUGAGUGUUUUCUGACGACGAUUCGACUGAUCGGAAAGCUUUUUCUCCCUUGGCUCUGAGAACAGGGACUGAUGACCGGAAUGAGAGAGAGAGAGAGAGAGAGAGAGAGAGAGAGAGAGAGAGAGAGAGAGAGAGAGAGAGAGAUGAUCGGAUUGAGAUAUGGCCAGAGAGAUUUGGCCGGAAUGAGUGAUGGCCUGAAUAAGAGGUGGCCAGAAGGGAUUAGGGUUUCAGAAAACUGGCUCUGAUACCAUGAAGAAUUUCUGAACUCCUUUAUUGAUAUUUUAUCGGUACACACCAUACACAUAUAUAUACACAAAUGACUGAAUAAGAAAGAAUCAAUCUAGCUUAAUUCUCUCCUAAAAUUAGGAAACUAAAUCAUAAGGAAAUAUCCUAAAUGAUCUCUCCUUUUUUAUUCCUAAAUUAAAGUCCUAACUUUGACAUUAUUUCAACACAUUGGAAUGCCUUCAAACACUCUCUUGUUAUGGUUGUUCGAAGAUGAAGAGUUUUCCGGAAAUCAAGGGUAAUAUGGGAAGUCUAAGAGAACUUGAUUUAAGUGAAACAGAUAUAAUAGAAGUACCAUCAUCAAUCAGGCAUCUACAUGGGCUUAAAACCUUGAAGUUAAGUGAUUGCUUAAACCUUGUGAGUCUUCAGGUCGGUAUUUGUAGUUUGAGCUCUCUUCAAACUCUUUUGAUGGAUGGGAGUUUAGAACUAAAGGCCUUUCUAGAUAUCAAUAUUGGAAGUCUAAAAGCCCUUGAAUGGUUAGAUUUGUCAUAUUGCGAAAACCUUGAGAGUCUUCCGGAUAGUAUUUGUAGUUUGACCUCUCUUCAAACUCUUUUGCUGAAUGGGUGUUCAAAACUGAAAGCCUUUCCAUACAUCAAUAUUGGAAGCCUCAAAGCUCUUGAAUUGUUAGCUUUGUCAUAUUGCGAAAACCUUGAGAGUCUUCCGGACAGUAUUUGUAAUUUGACAUCUCUUCAAACUCUCAUGUUAAAAGAGUGUUCAAAAUUGAAGGGCUUUCCAGAUAUCAAUAUUGGAAGUCUAAAAGCUCUUAAAUUGUUAGAUUUGUCAUAUUGCGAAAACCUGACAGUAUUUGUAGUUUGACCUCUCUUCAAACUCUUUUGCUGAAUGGGUGUUCAAAAUUGAAGGCUUUUCCGGAUAUUAAUAUUGCAAAUCUAAAAGCUCUUGAAUUGUUAGAUUUUUCAUAUUGUGAAAACUUUGGGAGUCUUCCAGAUAGGAUUUGUAGCUUAACCUCUCUUCAAACUCUUUUGUUGAAAAAGUGUUCAAAAUUGAAGGCCUUUCCAGAUAUCAAUAUUGGAAGUCUAAAAGCUCUUAAAUUGUUAGAUUUGUCAUAUUGCGAAAACCUUAAGAGUCUUCCAGACAGUAUUUGUAGUUUGACCUCUCUUCAAACUCUUUUUUUGAAUGGGUGUUCAAAAUUGAAGGCCUUUCCAGAUAUCAAUAUUGGAAGUCUAAAAGCUCUUGAAUUGUUAGAUUUGUCAUAUUGCAAAAACCUUGAGAGUCUUCCGCAUAGUAUUUGUAGUUUGACCUCUCUCCAAACACUUUUGUUGAAUGGGUGUUCAAAACUGAAGGCCUUUCCAGAUAUCAAUAUUGGAAGUCUAAAAGCUCUUAAAUUGUUAGAUUUGUCUUAUUGCAUAUACCUUGAGAGUCUUCCGCACAGUAUUUGUAGUUUGACCUCUCUUCAAACUCUUUUGUUGAAUGGGUGUUCAAAAUUGAAGGCCUUUCCAUGUAUCAAUAUUGGAAGUCUAAAAGCUCUUAAAUUGUUAAAUUUGUCAUAUUGCGAAAACCUUGAGAGUCUUCCGGAUAGUAUUUGUAAUUUGACCUCUCUUCAAACUCUUUUGCUGAAUGGGUGUUCAAAACUGAAGGCCUUUCCAGAUAUCAAUAUUGGAUGUCUAAAAGCCCUUGAAUUGUUAGACUUCUCAUAUUGCAAAAACCUUGAGAGUCUUCCGCACAGUAUUUGUAGUUUGACCUCUCUUCAAACUCUUUUGCUGAAUGGGUGUUCAAAACUAAAGGCUUUUCCAGAUAUCAAUGUUGGAAGUCUAAAAGUUCUAGAAUUGUUAGAUUUGUCAUAUUGCGAAAGCCUUGAGAGUUUUCCGGACAGUAUUUGUAGUUUGACCUCUCUUCAAACUCUUUGGCUGAAUGGGUGUUCAAAACUGAAGGUCUUUCCAGAUGUCAAUAUUGGAAGUCUAAAAGCUCUUGAAUUGUUAGAUUUGUCAUGUUGUAAAAAGCUUGAGAGUCUUCCGAUGAGCAUUUGCAAUUUGAGCUCUCUCAAAACUCUGCGGAUUAAAGAUUGUCCAAAACUCAAGGGAAUAUUAAAGAUGAACCUAGGGGUUGAUUUAUGCUCCUCGAGAUCUUUGAAUCUGACUUGUCACAUUUCAAAUUCAGGAGUAAUCUGGGAUAAUGACUGCUUUUCCUCAUUAAAAGCAUUAAAUCCAUGGUGCCCCCUGUCAUCACUGGUAGAAUUAUCUGUAAGAAACUCUAAUCUCAUGGAACGAGACAUCCUCAGUGCUAGUUUUCGCUUAUCCUCAAUGCAAAUAUUAUCUCUAAGGAACUUCCCUUUGAUGGUAGGAGGAAUCCUUGAUGACAUUUUCCAUCUAUCUUCAUUGGUAGAAUUAUCUCUUAGUGAAUGCAAUCUGAUGGAAGUAGGAACCCUCCAUUAUGUUUGGAACCUAUCUUCACUGCUAAGAUUAUAUCUAAGAAACUGUAAUCUAAUGGAAGGAGAGAUCCCCAAUCAUAUUUGGCACCUAUCAUCAUUG